UACGUAGGUGACCAGCGUUGUCCGGAUUUACUGGGCGUAAAGAGCGCGUAGGCGGUCUGACAAGUCCCCUGUGAAAGCCCCCGGCUUAACCGGGGAACUGCAUGGGAUACUGUUGGGCUAGAGUGCAGGAGGGGAGAGCGGAAUUCCUGGUGGAGCGGUGAAAUGCGUAGAUAUCAGGAGGAACGCCGGCGGCGAAAGCGACUCUCUGGCCUGUAACUGACGCUGAGGCGCGAAAGCUAGGGGAGCAAACGGG
RNAcentral lists this ribosomal RNA (253 nucleotides) under uncultured bacterium. RNAcentral describes it as "partial 16S ribosomal RNA". It matches the Rfam family "Bacterial small subunit ribosomal RNA", at positions 524 to 776 of the family's 1533-position model. The record is from RNAcentral.